This 368-nucleotide ribosomal RNA is filed under the name uncultured eukaryote. RNAcentral's name for it is "partial 18S ribosomal RNA". It matches the Rfam family "Eukaryotic small subunit ribosomal RNA", at positions 592 to 976 of the family's 1831-position model. The record is from RNAcentral.
CAGUAGCGUAUAUUAAAGUUGUUGCAGUUAAAAUGCUCGUAGUUGAAGUUCGGAUGCAGCAGAGCUUGGAAACGCUGUUAUGGUGCUUCCGUUGCUUUUGCUUGUACACAGUGCGUUGCAAGUACGUAUGUGCUUGUGCGUGCAUUUUACUUUGAGAAACAUAGGGUGUUCCACGCAUGUUACGGCAUGAAUAUUCCAGCAUGGGAUAAUCUGGUACGACUUCCAAUCUGCCAUUUUGGUUCGUAGGUUGGAAGUAAUGAUUAAUAGGGACUGUCGGGGGCAUUGGUAUUUGACUGUCAGAGGUGAAAUUCUUAGAUUCGUUGAGGACCAACCACUGCGAAAGCAUUUGUCAAGGAUGUCUCCAUUAA